RNAcentral lists this ribosomal RNA (220 nucleotides) under uncultured bacterium. RNAcentral's name for it is "partial 16S ribosomal RNA". It matches the Rfam family "Bacterial small subunit ribosomal RNA", at positions 111 to 334 of the family's 1533-position model. The record is from RNAcentral.
UAAUGCUUGGGAAUCUAGCUUAUGGAGGGGGAUAACUACGGGAAACUGUAGCUAAUACCGCGUAGAAUCGAGAGAUGAAAGUGUGGGACCUUCGGGCCACAUGCCAUAGGAUGAGCCCAAGUGGGAUUAGGCAGUUGGUGAGGUAAAGGCUCACCAAGCCGACGAUCUCUAGCUGGUCUGAGAGGAUGACCAGCCACACUGGGACUGAGACACGGCCCAG